This 563-nucleotide ribosomal RNA is filed under the name Streptomyces sp. 413A08. RNAcentral's name for it is "bacterial SSU rRNA". It matches the Rfam family "Bacterial small subunit ribosomal RNA", at positions 93 to 671 of the family's 1533-position model. Lineage: Bacteria; Bacillati; Actinomycetota; Actinomycetes; Kitasatosporales; Streptomycetaceae. The record is from RNAcentral.
UAGUGGCGAACGGGUGAGUAACACGUGGGCAAUCUGCCCUUCACUCUGGGACAAGCCCUGGAAACGGGGUCUAAUACCGGAUAUCACUUCUGCUCGCAUGGGUGGGGGUUGAAAGCUCCGGCGGUGAAGGAUGAGCCCGCGGCCUAUCAGCUUGUUGGUGAGGUAGUGGCUCACCAAGGCGACGACGGGUAGCCGGCCUGAGAGGGCGACCGGCCACACUGGGACUGAGACACGGCCCAGACUCCUACGGGAGGCAGCAGUGGGGAAUAUUGCACAAUGGGCGGAAGCCUGAUGCAGCGACGCCGCGUGAGGGAUGACGGCCUUCGGGUUGUAAACCUCUUUCAGCAGGGAAGAAGCGUAAGUGACGGUACCUGCAGAAGAAGCGCCGGCUAACUACGUGCCAGCAGCCGCGGUAAUACGUAGGGCGCAAGCGUUGUCCGGAAUUAUUGGGCGUAAAGAGCUCGUAGGCGGCUUGUCACGUCGGGUGUGAAAGCCCGGGGUUNACCCCGGGUCUGCAUUCGAUACGGGCUGGNUGGAGUGUGGNAGGGGAGAUCGGAAUUCCU